AUUGUAUUGCAGGUCAAGAUUCUGAGCUAAAAAAGGCUUUGGGGUCAGUUGCAGCUAGUCAACAAUUGUCCCUGUUGAUAGUAUUAGAUGGAUGCCUCAUGGUAGAGGAGUCAUAAAAUUCAACAGUGAUGCCAGUUGGAAGGAGGGAAGCAACCAAUCUGCCAUUGUUGUGGCAGCUCGGAAUCAUCAAAGCCUUUUGCUCGAUGGAGUAGCAAAGAAAUUUCAGUAUAAUUCUCCUUUAGUAGCGGAAGCUAAAGCAAUGCUAGAAGCCAUUUCUUUGGCCAGGGACAUGGGUUCUACAACAAUUGUGCUAGAAACAGAUUCCCAGAUUCUGUUCUCUGCUCUAUCAACAUCCAUGGAAGAUAUAGGGUGGGAUAUAAGGCAGCUGUUCAGGGCAUUAAGGCUUUUUUCCCUUUGUUUUCACAGAUCUCAUUGUCAAAGACUAGUAGGAAAACAAAUCAAG
Molecule: unclassified non-coding RNA, 463 nt
Filed under: Hevea brasiliensis (rubber tree)
Lineage: Eukaryota; Viridiplantae; Streptophyta; Magnoliopsida; Malpighiales; Euphorbiaceae
Source: RNAcentral